CCCUUAGAUGUUCUGGGCCGCACGCGCGCUACACUGACGAAGUCAGCGAGCAUGUCCUACGCCGACAGGUGCGGGGAAUCUUGUCAAACUUCGUCGUGAUGGGGAUUGAUUAUUAAAAUUCUUGAUCAUCAACGAGGAAUUCCUAGUAAGCGCAAGUCAGCAGCUUGCGUUGAUUACGUCCCUGCCCUUUGUACACACCGCCCGUCGCUACUACCGAUUGAAUGGUUUAGUGAGAUCUUCGGAUUGGCGCCACUGCGGCUCAGCAAUGGGCUCGGUGGAUGCCGAAAAGUUGAUCAAACUUGAUCAUUUAGAGGAAGUAAAAGUCGUAACA
This 331-nucleotide ribosomal RNA is filed under the name uncultured eukaryote. RNAcentral describes it as "partial 18S ribosomal RNA". It matches the Rfam family "Eukaryotic small subunit ribosomal RNA", at positions 1470 to 1796 of the family's 1831-position model. The record is from RNAcentral.